RNAcentral lists this ribosomal RNA (215 nucleotides) under uncultured Chloroflexus sp. Its description in RNAcentral is "partial 16S ribosomal RNA". It matches the Rfam family "Bacterial small subunit ribosomal RNA", at positions 355 to 587 of the family's 1533-position model. Lineage: Bacteria; Bacillati; Chloroflexota; Chloroflexia; Chloroflexales; Chloroflexaceae. The record is from RNAcentral.
CAAGGAAUUUUCCCCAAUGGGCGCAAGCCUGAGGGAGCAACGCCGCGUGGAGGACGACGGCCUUCGGGUUGUAAACUCCUUUCGGGUGGGACGAGCAUGACGGUACCACCAGAAGCAGCCCCGGCUAACUCUGUGCCAGCAGCCGCGGUAAGACAGAGGGGGCAAGCGUUGUCCGGAGUUACUGGGCGUAAAGGGCGCGCAGGCGGUGGGCUGCG